RNAcentral lists this long non-coding RNA (309 nucleotides) under Monodelphis domestica (gray short-tailed opossum). RNAcentral's name for it is "lncRNA (ENSMODG00000051164.1)". The record is from RNAcentral. Lineage: Eukaryota; Metazoa; Chordata; Mammalia; Didelphimorphia; Didelphidae.
AGGAGACAACCAGCUCAGGGAAGCGUCACAUUGCUGCUGAGUCUCUGAGUCAGUAUCGGAGUUUGAGUCUUCCUGGCUCAAAGCCCAGCAAUCAAUUGAGGCAAUGAAUAAUUUCUGAUUUGACUGCAGGAAUUAUUUUGUGCCUAAGAAAAAUUCACAGUUUUCUUUGAGGAUUUGGAUAUCAAUUUUGACUUUAUUGUCUUCUUCUGAGCUUGUGUUUUGAUCUUCCUUGGCUCCAUAAUAACUUUUUCUGAACUGUGACCAGAAUCUAAGAACCCCUGCGUCCUCAAGCACACCUGUGCUAGUAUU